RNAcentral lists this ribosomal RNA (916 nucleotides) under uncultured bacterium. Its description in RNAcentral is "bacterial SSU rRNA". It matches the Rfam family "Bacterial small subunit ribosomal RNA", at positions 33 to 940 of the family's 1533-position model. The record is from RNAcentral.
ACGCUGGCGGCAGGCUUAACACAUGCAAGUCGAACGGUAACAGGAGAAAGCUUGCUUUCUUGCUGACGAGUGGCGGACGGGUGAGUAAUGCUUGGGAAUCUGGCUUAUGGAGGGGGAUAACGACGGGAGACUGUCGCUAAUACCGCGUAGAGUCGAGAGACGAAAGUGCGGGACCGCAAGGCCGCAUGCCAUAGGAUGAGCCCAAGUGGGAUUAGGUAGUUGGUGGGGUAAUAGCCUACCAAGCCGACGAUCUCUAGCUGGUCUGAGAGGAUGACCAGCCACACCGGGACUGAGACACGGCCCGGACUCCUACGGGAGGCAGCAGUGGGGAAUAUUGCGCAAUGGGGGCAACCCUGACGCAGCCAUGCCGCGUGAAUGAAGAAGGCCUUCGGGUUGUAAAGUUCUUUCGGUAUUGAGGAAGGUUGUUGUGUUAAUAGCACGACAAAUUGACGUUAAAUACAGAAGAAGCACCGGCUAACUCCGUGCCAGCAGCCGCGGUAAUACGGAGGGUGCGAGCGUUAAUCGGAAUAACUGGGCGUAAAGGGCACGCAGGCGGACUUUUAAGUGAGGUGUGAAAUCCCCGGGCUUAACCUGGGAAUUGCAUUUCAGACUGGGAGUCUAGAGUACUUUAGGGAGGGGUAGAAUUCCACGUGUAGCGGUGAAAUGCGUAGAGAUGUGGAGGAAUACCGAAGGCGAAGGCAGCCCCUUGGGAAUGUACUGACGCUCAUGUGCGAAAGCGUGGGGUGCAAACAGGAUUAGAUACCCUGGUAGUCCACGCUGUAAACGCUGUCGAUUUGGGGAUUGGGCUUUAAGCUUGGUGCCCGAAGCUAACGUGAUAAAUCGACCGCCUGGGGAGUACGGCCGCAAGGUUAAAACUCAAAUGAAUUGACGGGGGCCCGCACAAGCGGUGGAGCAU